UACGUAGGGGGCGAGCGUUGUCCGGAUUCAUUGGGCGUAAAGAGCUCGUAGGCGGCUUGGCAAGUCGGGUGUGAAACCUCCAGGCUCAACCUGGAGACGCCACCCGAUACUGCUAUGGCUAGAGUCCGGUAGGGGACCACGGAAUUCCUGGCGUAGCGGUGAAAUGCGCAGAUAUCAGGAGGAACACCGGUGGCGAAGGCGGUGGUCUGGGCCGGCACUGACGCUGAGGAGCGAAAGCGUGGGGAGCGAACAGG
RNAcentral lists this ribosomal RNA (254 nucleotides) under uncultured bacterium. RNAcentral's name for it is "partial 16S ribosomal RNA". It matches the Rfam family "Bacterial small subunit ribosomal RNA", at positions 524 to 776 of the family's 1533-position model. The record is from RNAcentral.